This 301-nucleotide ribosomal RNA is filed under the name uncultured bacterium. RNAcentral's name for it is "partial 16S ribosomal RNA". It matches the Rfam family "Bacterial small subunit ribosomal RNA", at positions 509 to 807 of the family's 1533-position model. The record is from RNAcentral.
CAGUAGCCGCGGUAAUACGUAGGUGGCAAGCGUUGUCCGGAAUUAUUGGGCGUAAAGCGCGCGCAGGUGGUUUAAUAAGUCUGAUGUGAAAGCCCACGGCUCAACCGUGGAGGGUCAUUGGAAACUGUUAAACUUGAGUGCAGGAGAGAAGAGUGGAAUUCCUAGUGUAGCGGUGAAAUGCGUAGAGAUUAGGAGGAACACCAGUGGCGAAGGCGGCUUUUUGGCCUGUAACUGACACUGAGGCGCGAAAGCGUGGGGAGCAAACAGGAUUAGAUACCCCCGUAGUCCCUGUCUCUUAUAC